Molecule: ribosomal RNA, 232 nt
Filed under: uncultured bacterium
Lineage: Bacteria
Description: partial 16S ribosomal RNA
Rfam family: Bacterial small subunit ribosomal RNA
Source: RNAcentral
CGGACGGGUGAGUAAUGUCUGGGAAACUGCCUGAUGGAGGGGGAUAACUACUGGAAACGGUAGCUAAUACCGCAUAACGUCGCAAGACCAAAGAGGGGGACCUUCGGGCCUCGUGCCAUCGGAUGUGCCCAGAUGGGAUUAGCUAGUAGGUGGGGUAACGGCUCACCUAGGCGACGAUCCCUAGCUGGUCUGAGAGGAUGACCAGCCACACUGGAACUGAGACACGGUCCAG